AGGGCGCAUGGUGAAUGCCUAGGCACUAGAAGCCGAUGAAGGACGUGACGAACCACGAAAGGCUUCGGGGAGCAGUAAGUAAGCGAUGAUCCGGAGAUAUCCGAAUGGGGGAACCCAAUACCGCGAGGUAUUAUCAAGAGCUGUUAAGGCUGUUGAAGGAAGACGCAGUGAACUGAAACAUCUAAGUAGCUGCAGGAAGAGAAAGAAAAAUCGAUUUCCCAAGUAGCGGCGAGCGAACAGGAAAGAGCCCAAACCAGCUGGCUUGCCAGUUGGGGUAGUAGGACUGCAAUAAAGUACUUGAAGCGAUAGCAGAAUUAUCUGGAAAGAUAAGCCAGAGAGGGUGAGAGCCCCGUAAGCGAAAUUGCAGAGAGACUUAGCAGGAUCCUGAGUAGGUCGGGACACGAGGAAUCCCGAUUGAAACCGCGAGGACCAUCUCGCAAGGCUAAAUACUAACUAGUGACCGAUAGUGAACCAGUACCGUGAGGGAAAGGUGAAAAGAACCCCGGAAGGGGAGUGAAAGAGAACCUGAAACCGUGUGCCUACAAGUAGUCAAAGCACAUUAAAGUGUAAUGGCGUGCCUUUUGUAGAAUGAACCGGCGAGUUACGUUAUGGUGCAAGGUUAAGUCAGAAAAGACGGAGCCGGAGCGAAAGCGAGUCUGAAGAGGGCGAGAGAGUAUCAUGACGUAGACCCGAAACCAAGUGACCUACCCAUGACCAGGUUGAAGGCGUGGUAAAACACGCUGGAGGACCGAACCCACGUGAGUUAAAAAUCGCGGGGAUGAGUUGUGGGUAGCGGUGAAAUUCCAAACGAACUUGGAGAUAGCUGGUUCUCUCCGAAAUAGCUUUAGGGCUAGCCUCGUGUGAAUGAUAAUGGAGGUAGAGCGCUGUUUGGACUAGGGGCCCGUCAGGGGUUACUGAAUCCAGAUAAACUCCGAAUGCCAGAUAUCAAUGCACGGGAGUCAGACUGCGAGUGAUAAGAUCCGUAGUCGAAAGGGAAACAGCCCAGAUCACCAGUUAAGGUCCCCAAAUCUAUGCUAAGUGGAAAAGGAUGUGGAGUUGCGUAGACAACUAGGAUGUUGGCUUAGAAGCAGCCACCAUUUAAAGAGUGCGUAAUAGCUCACUAGUCGAGUGACGCUGCGCCGAAAAUGUACCGGGGCUAAGCAUAGUACCGAAACUGUGGAUGCAUAUCAAAGGAUAUGCGUGGUAGGAGAGCGUUCUAAGUGCGGAGAAGUUAGAUCGAGAGGACUAAUGGAGCGCUUAGAAGUGAGAAUGCCGGUAUGAGUAGCGAAAGAUAGGUGAGAAUCCUAUCCGCCGAAAGACUAAGGUUUCCUGGGGCAGGCUCGUCCGCCCAGGGUAAGUCGGGACCUAAGGUAAGGCCGAGAGGCGUAGCCGAUGGACAACAGGUAGAGAUUCCUGUACUGAAAUUGUUCGAUAAGAGCAAAGGAGGGACGCAGGAGGCUAAUGACGCAUGUAGCUGGAAAAACAUGUGCAAGCAGUAAGAAAAAACAUGAGUCAAAUGCUUAUGUUUAGAUUUCAAGCUGUGACGCGGAGUGAAAUCAAAGUAGCGAAGGUCAUGAUGUCACACUGCCAAGAAAAGCUUCUAGCCAGAGCAAUUUUACCCGUACCGCAAACCGACACAGGUAGUCGAGUGGAGAACACUCAGGUGAGCGAGAGAACUCUCGUUAAGGAACUCGGCAAAAUGACCCCGUAACUUCGGGAGAAGGGGUGCUGAUGGUAAAAGAUCAGCCGCAGUGAAUAGGCCCAAACAACUGUUUAUCAAAAACACAGGUAUCUGCAAAAUCGUAAGAUGACGUAUAGGUGCUGACACCUGCCCGGUGCUGGAAGGUUAAGAGGAGAGCUUAGCGCAAGCGAAGGUUUGAAUUGAAGCCCCAGUAAACGGCGGCCGUAACUAUAACGGUCCUAAGGUAGCGAAAUUCCUUGUCGGGUAAGUUCCGACCUGCACGAAAGGUGUAAUGAUUUGGGCACUGUCUCAACGAGAGACUCGGUGAAAUUAUAAUACCCGUGAAGAUGCGGGUUACCCGCGACAGGACGGAAAGACCCCAUGGAGCUUUACUGUAGCUUGAUAUUGAGUAUUUGUUAAACAUGUACAGGAUAGGUAGGAGCCAGAGAAAGUAGGACGCUAGUCUUACUGGAGGCAAUGUUGGGAUACUACCCUUGUUUGAUGGAUCCUCUAACUCGCAGAGCUGAGCGUUCUGGAGGACAGUGUCAGGUGGGCAGUUUGACUGGGGCGGUCGCCUCCUAAAAUGUAACGGAGGCGCCCAAAGGUUCCCUCAGAAUGGUUGGAAAUCAUUCGCAGAGU
This 2320-nucleotide ribosomal RNA is filed under the name human gut metagenome. RNAcentral describes it as "bacterial LSU rRNA". It matches the Rfam family "Bacterial large subunit ribosomal RNA", at positions 14 to 2350 of the family's 2925-position model. The record is from RNAcentral.